GGAGAGGCCAGCCGACGGCAGGCGACGGCACCUGGCUCGAGUCCAGGCGGUCUCAGUGAUGGGCCUUGGGAGUUCGAUCCUCCCCCUCUCCG
This 92-nucleotide transfer RNA is filed under the name Myxococcales bacterium. Its description in RNAcentral is "tRNA-Ser". Lineage: Bacteria; Pseudomonadati; Myxococcota; Myxococcia; Myxococcales. The record is from RNAcentral. RNAcentral also lists the same sequence under 1 other name.